Homo sapiens (human) is the source of this 406-nucleotide long non-coding RNA. Ensembl annotates it as long intergenic non-protein coding RNA 2393. NCBI's taxonomy places the organism in Eukaryota, Metazoa, Chordata, Mammalia, Primates, Hominidae. The record is from Ensembl.
AAAUCAUGAGUCAGUAUGUGCCAGCUGUAUUUAAGACCAAAGGCUUAAUGUAUCCACAUCUGGGGUAGGAGUCAGAUGUAAAACAAGCCCAACAUUGCCUUGGAAGUUCUAUAGGCAAUGGACUCUUUCGUGGCUAGAUUUGAAUCCCACGUACAACAGAAGCUUCCAAAUGCGUUGUUUGGCCACAAUGAAGAAUCCUUAUUGAAAUAUCCCUUGAAUGGCAUAAUUGAAUAGACGUAAUUGCAAAGCUCUGCACCAUGUAAAAUUAGAAAUGGACUCUUGUGUAUGUAGAUGAGAAGAACUGAGCAUGAGAGGGUGCUGAUAACAGGGGAUAUGGGCACCGCAUAACCUAAACAGACUUUGACACCACAACAAAAGAGAGACAGAUACUGUAGAACAAUGACAG